AUGGGGCCUUGAAAUUCUGCAUUUCUAACAAGUUCUCAGGUGAU
Molecule: microRNA precursor, 44 nt
Filed under: Canis lupus familiaris (dog)
Lineage: Eukaryota; Metazoa; Chordata; Mammalia; Carnivora; Canidae
Description: miRNA (ENSCAFG00000051338.1)
Source: RNAcentral